RNAcentral lists this long non-coding RNA (719 nucleotides) under Equus caballus (horse). RNAcentral's name for it is "lncRNA (ENSECAG00000056268.1)". The record is from RNAcentral. Lineage: Eukaryota; Metazoa; Chordata; Mammalia; Perissodactyla; Equidae.
CAGACAGGCAGAGAGGAAAGACAGCGUGAAGACACAGGGAGAUGACAGCCGGCUACAGCCAAGGAAAGACGCCUGGAACAGCUCCUUCCCUCACAGCCCUCAGAAGGAAGCAGCACUGCCAUCAUCUUGCUUUCAGACUACUAGCCUCCAGAACUGUGAGACAACCAAUUUUCUGUUGUAAUGCUCAACACCAUGAAGAGAAAAAUAACAACCCUAGGACAUGGUUCCUUUGCUGAAAACCCUUCCAAGACCACAGAUGAAGAGGAGACCUCCUGUCCUUGGCUAGCUCUUGCUAGAGCCACGUACUGCUCCCUCCUCACUUUUAACUUCUUAAUUUUCUCAGGAAGGUUCCAGGACCCUCGUGGGAAGGAGCUGGGAGUUGUUACUCCGAAGACGUCCCUUUGAAGCACUGAGAGAAUGGGGAAAUGUGGUCAAGAAACAGUGCAUCCAAGAGAACAGGUCAGUCAUUUUACUGGCUACGGAGGAAGAGAGACCUUCACAGCAAGGACGGGCCUGCAAAUGAGGGCAGAAUGGGCAAAAGCAGGCCAAAAGAACAGUGUACUGGGAAGGGCAGAAUCAGGCCAAAUCUAUCUAUGAAAGACCUACUUGCAGACUAUUCUAUAUUCUAGAUCCUCCACUUGGGUCAUGGAGAAUGUAAAAUAAGUUUAGGCAAAUCAUUAAAACUGUUGCAGUUGUAAAUACCAUGUGAAAUGGUUUAC